CAUGCUCCUGAAGGCAUUGCACGUGUGCCUGCUGUGUCACAAGUGCAUCAGUAGGUGGCAGAGAGGAGAGAGGCUAUGUUUACGCUUGGUGUUCUGACCUGUGAAUUAAUCUGAUUGAGUAGCAGCCUAACAUU
This 134-nucleotide small nucleolar RNA is filed under the name Mus caroli (Ryukyu mouse). RNAcentral's name for it is "predicted gene, 23594 (MGP_CAROLIEiJ_G0036729.1)". It matches the Rfam family "Small nucleolar RNA SNORA17". Rfam says of the family: snoRNA ACA 17 belongs to the H/ACA family of snoRNAs and is predicted to guide pseudouridylation of the 28S rRNA at positions U4659 and U4598. It shares the same host gene together with ACA43. Lineage: Eukaryota; Metazoa; Chordata; Mammalia; Rodentia; Muridae. The record is from RNAcentral.